ACAGAAUUGGGCCUGCGGUCUGCUUUCUCCUGAGGACAUCAAGUCAGUGCAUGAAUAUUUUCUCGCGCCACAGUACAAGCUCUCUAACCUCAUAAGGGGUUAGAAACGCCUAGAGGGGAGCUGGAGGAGAGAGACUACAUGCAGAUAGCGAUCUGCGAUUAUGAAACUCAGUCCAUCAACAGACUCGCUUCCAUUGAUUUUUCUUCUCACUUCCAUCACCGCCAUCUGCCCUCCCACCCUAGACCCCAGAGCACAGGAAACCUCUUGUGAGCACACGAAUGUGCAGAGGGGUAAGAGGUUGUCUUUUUUUUUUUUUUUUUGUGCAACAUGAGUUUUGGUAAAAUGUGUGUCUAGAAGUUGAGAUGUAUUUCUUAGCACAAAUUAUUAUAUACCACUUAGAAACAAAGAAUCGUGGUUAAGAGCAUUUUUUUAGGAAUGAACACUGCUUUAGAAUCAAUUUUAAUGACAGUCAUCUGAUUAAGAAGGCAUACGCUCAGUCCAGAAAUCAAUCCGAAUAAUCAUAAAAAAUAUUUCAGCAAUCACAAAUCCUGUAAUAAUAGAAUUUCUACCCUCACAUUCAUUAUGACUUGAUGACUCAUUAUCUCAAAGUCAUCCAUACUAACCUUCACAAAAG
RNAcentral lists this long non-coding RNA (634 nucleotides) under Sus scrofa (pig). RNAcentral describes it as "lncRNA (ENSSSCG00050073245.1)". The record is from RNAcentral. Lineage: Eukaryota; Metazoa; Chordata; Mammalia; Artiodactyla; Suidae.